RNAcentral lists this ribosomal RNA (396 nucleotides) under uncultured bacterium. RNAcentral describes it as "bacterial SSU rRNA". It matches the Rfam family "Bacterial small subunit ribosomal RNA", at positions 28 to 407 of the family's 1533-position model. The record is from RNAcentral.
GACGAACGCUGGCGGCGUGCCUAAUACAUGCAAGUCGAGCGGAGUAAAAAGCGUGCUUGCACGGUUUUUAUUUAGCGGCGAACGGGUGAGUAACACGUAGGUAACCUGGCCAUAAGACAGGGAUAACGCACGGAAACGUGAGCUAAAACCAGAUAGGCAUUUUCCACGCAUGAGGGAGAUGAGAAAGGCGGAGCAAUCUGCCGCUUAUGGAUGGACCUGCGUCGCAUUAGCUAGUUGGAGUGGUAAAGGCACACCAAGGGCGACGGAUGCGUAGCCGACCUGAGAGGGUGAGCGGCCACACUGGGACUGAGACACGGCCCAGACUCCUACGGGAGGCAGCAGUAGGGAAUCUUCCGCAAUGGACGAAAGUCGUGACGGAGCAACGCCGCGUGAGUG